RNAcentral lists this ribosomal RNA (253 nucleotides) under uncultured bacterium. Its description in RNAcentral is "partial 16S ribosomal RNA". It matches the Rfam family "Bacterial small subunit ribosomal RNA", at positions 524 to 776 of the family's 1533-position model. The record is from RNAcentral.
UACGGCGGAUGCAAGCGUUAUCCGGAAUGAUUGGGCGUAAAGCGUCCGCAGGUGGCUAUGUAAGUCUGCUGUUAAAGAGUGAGGCUCAACCUCAUAAGAGCAGUGGAAACUACAUAGCUAGAGUGCGUUCGGGGCAGAGGGAAUUCCUGGUGUAGCGGUGAAAUGCGUAGAUAUCAGGAAGAACACCGGUGGCGAAAGCGCUCUGCUAGGCCGCAACUGACACUGAGGGACGAAAGCUAGGGGAGCGAAUGGG